ACCUACGUUGGUAUGCUCCUAGUGUCAGUCAAUCCCUACAAAGAUCUGGGAAUCUGCACCAAGAAGUAGAUGGACAUUUACAUGGGAGUGUACUUUUUUGUGCUUCCACCCCAUAUCUACCUGGUACAGGUGGGAGAGGUAACUUAUCAAUGCUACAGCUACCUGGUACAGGUGGGAGAGGUAACUUAUCAACGCUACAGCUACCUGGUACAGGUGGGAGAGGUAACCUAUCAAUGCUACAGCUACCUGGUACAGGUGGGAGAGGUAACCUAUCAACGCUACAGCUACCUGGUACAGGUGGGAGAGGUAACCUAUCAACGCUACAGCUACCUGGUACAGGUGGGAGAGGUAACCUAUCAACGCUACAGCUACCUGGUACAGGUGGGAGAGGUAACCUAUCAACGCUACAGCUACCUGGUACAGGUGGGAGAAGUAACUUAUCAACGCUACAUCUACCUGGUGCAGGUGGGAGAGGUAAACUUAUCAACGCUACAGCUACCUGGUACAGGUGGGAGAGGUAACGUAUCAAUGCUACAGCUACUUGGUACAGGUGGGAGAGGUAACUUAUCAACGCUACAUCUACCUGGUGCAGGUGGGAGAGGUAACUUAUCAACGCUACAGCUACCUGGUACAGGUGGGAGAGGUAACUUAUCAACGCUACAGCUACCUAGUACAGGUGGGAGAGGAAUUGUCAAUGCUACAGUUACCUGGUACAGGUGGGAGAGGUAACUUAUCAACGCUACAGCUACCUGGUACAGGUGGGAGAGGUAACCUAUCAAUGCUACAGCUACCUGGUGCAGGUGGGAGAGGUAACCUAU
This 818-nucleotide long non-coding RNA is filed under the name Oncorhynchus mykiss (rainbow trout). RNAcentral describes it as "lncRNA (ENSOMYG00000055867.1)". Lineage: Eukaryota; Metazoa; Chordata; Actinopteri; Salmoniformes; Salmonidae. The record is from RNAcentral.